This 375-nucleotide ribosomal RNA is filed under the name uncultured bacterium. RNAcentral describes it as "bacterial SSU rRNA". It matches the Rfam family "Bacterial small subunit ribosomal RNA", at positions 29 to 431 of the family's 1533-position model. The record is from RNAcentral.
AACGAACGCUGGCGGCAUGCCUAACACAUGCAAGUCGAACGAGACCUUCGGGUCUAGUGGCGCACGGGUGCGUAACGCGUGGGAACCUGCCUUUAGGUUCGGAAUAACAGUGAGAAAUUACUGCUAAUACCGGAUGAUGUCUUCGGACCAAAGAUUUAUCGCCUUUAGAUGGGCCCGCGUUGGAUUAGCUAGUUGGUGGGGUAAAGGCCUACCAAGGCGACGAUCCAUAGCUGGUCUGAGAGGAUGAUCAGCCACACUGGGACUGAGACACGGCCCAGACUCCUACGGGAGGCAGCAGUGGGGAAUUUUGGACAAUGGGGGAAACCCUGAUCCAGCCAUGCCGCGUGAGUGAAGAAGGCCUUCGGGUUGUAAAGC